GGGGGGAGCGCCGGAUAUGGGCUAUGUCCCCCGGUGCCCUGGGCUCUGGGACCUGCGCUGAUGGAAUCGUGCUCGCCGGGGCGCACAGCCCCCU
RNAcentral lists this microRNA precursor (94 nucleotides) under Canis lupus familiaris (dog). RNAcentral's name for it is "mir-8799 microRNA precursor family". It matches the Rfam family "mir-8799 microRNA precursor family". The record is from Rfam by way of RNAcentral. RNAcentral also lists the same sequence under 1 other name. Lineage: Eukaryota; Metazoa; Chordata; Mammalia; Carnivora; Canidae.